AGAGUUUGAUCAUGGCUCAGAACGAACGCUGGCGGCGUGGAUAAGACAUGCAAGUCGAGCGGGAUUUCUUUUGGUAGCAAUACCGAAGGAAGUCUAGCGGCGAACGGGUGCUUAACACGUGGGCAACCUGCCAAGAAGUGGGGGAUAGCUCGCCGAAAGGCGAAUUAAUACCGCAUGUGAUUAGAGAGGACAUCCUUUCGAAAUCAAAGUCGGGGCAACCUGACGCUUUUUGUGGGGCCCGCGGCCUAUCAGCUAGUUGGUGAGGUAACGGCCCACCAAGGCUUUGACGGGUAGCUGGUCUGAGAGGACGACCAGCCACACUGGGACUGAGACACGGCCCAGACACCUACGGGUGGCAGCAGUCGAGAAUUUUUGACAAUGGGGGAAACCCUGAUCGAGCGACGCCGCGUGGAGGAUGAAGGUCUUCGGAUUGUAAACUCCUGUCAUUGGGGAACAAGGUGCAUACGUUAACUGCGUGUGUAUUGAUAGUACCCGAAGAGGAAGAGACGGCUAACCCUGUGCCAGCAGCCGCGGUAAUACAGAGGUCUCAAGCGUUGUUCGGAUUCAUUGGGCGUAAAGGGUGCGUAGGCGGCGCGGUAAGUCGGGUGUGAAAUCUCGGGGCUUAACUCCGAAACUGCAUUCGAUACUGCCGUGCUUGAGGACUGGAGAGGAGACUGGAAUUUACGGUGUAGCGGUGAAAUGCGUAGAUAUCGUAAGGAAGACCAGUGGCGAAGGCGGGUCUCUGGACAGUUCCUGACGCUGAGGCACGAAGGUCAGGGGAGCAAACGGGAUUAGAUACCCUAGUAGUCC
This 810-nucleotide ribosomal RNA is filed under the name uncultured bacterium. Its description in RNAcentral is "bacterial SSU rRNA". It matches the Rfam family "Bacterial small subunit ribosomal RNA", at positions 8 to 796 of the family's 1533-position model. The record is from RNAcentral.